Nycticebus coucang (slow loris) is the source of this 8748-nucleotide RNA transcript. It is a transcript of the gene named collagen type XIX alpha 1 chain, with no coding region annotated. Lineage: Eukaryota; Metazoa; Chordata; Mammalia; Primates; Lorisidae. The transcript is spliced from 52 exons. The record is from RefSeq and is a predicted model, not a curated record.
AGCACCAAUCCACGGAAAGAUACCAUAUUUAAAAUCACAAAAUACUUUUGUGGACUCGGAGACGACCCAGAUUAGAAUUAACUUUAUAUAAACUCCUGAAAUAAAAGUGAAAAAUGAAACAUAAAUGCCCCCCCUUCAGCUCCGCUGUGAGAAGGAUGAUCAUUUACCUGUACCUGCGCACAGUAAGACUCUGAGGACACUUCUUCCUAAUCAGAAGUGAGCGACUCCUCAUCCAGCCGUCCGCGCAUCUGAACGGCGAGUCACACACAGACCUUCCAGGCGUCGUUGCCAGUUCGGAGGCGACACUGCUGUCAUUAAGGGAACCUGUGCGCGAGUUGGCGGAGGACCGUCUCGCGGAGUCCUCCGUCCUCGCCGAGUGGGAGGGUCACCCCGGAGGGACUAAUAAGGGCAGAGAUGCGUCCCCCUUCCCCACUCGCCCGCAGUGCCGCAGCCCGGUCCGGACGCCGGUGCGCCUCGGAGGGGCUCCCAGGCGCGUUCCAGAUCUGUGGCCACUUGUUCCCAUGGUUUCAAGUCACGAUGAGGGACACGGGCUCUUGGAAACUUUGGCUCUGGGGGACAAUGUUCCUGUUUCCUGCUUCCACCUCCGUGACUGUCAGAGGCAAGCCAGAAAGGCCAUGUCCUAUACUGAGAACAGAAGAACAUCAAUUGGCACAAAACAACAGAAAUAAACUUGAAGUUUCAGGUUUUGAUCUAGGAGAGAGUUUUUCUCUGAGACGUGCAUUUUGUGAAGGUGAUAAAACUUGUUUCAAAUUGGGAAGUGCACUUCUUAUGAGAGACACUAGUAAGGUGUUUCCCAGAGGCCUUCCCGAGGAGUACGCGGUCUCAGCCGUGUUUCGCGUACGCAGAAACACUAAAAAGGAACGGUGGUUUCUGUGGCAGGUGUUAAGCCAGCAGAAUAUGGCACAGGUCUCUGUAGUGGUUGAUGGUGGAAAGAAGGUAGUGGAAUUGAUGAUUCAAGCUGCUGAGGGAGAUGUGUUGAGCUUCGUCUUUAAAAAUCGAGAACUCCGCCCUCUGUUUGAUCGUCAGUGGCAUAAACUUGGCAUCAGCAUACAAUCCCGGGCCAUCUCACUCUAUGUGGAUUGUAACUUAAUUGCAAGCCGGCAGACUGAGGAGAAGGACGCGGUGGAUUUUCGUGGACGGACAGUUAUUGCUGCCCGAGCUUCCGAUGGCAAGCCUGUUGACAUUGAACUUCAUGAACUUAAAAUCUACUGUAAUGCAAAUUUCGUAGCUCAAGAAACAUGCUGUGAGAUAUCAGAUACUAAGUGCCCAGAGCAGGAUGGCUUUGGCAGUAUUACAUCAUCAUCGGUCACUGCUCAUGCCGGCAAAAUGUCUGCAUAUCUGCCAGCAAGGCAGGAACUUCCAGACCGGUGCCAGUGCAUUCCAAACAAGGGAGAAGCAGGAUUACCAGGAGCUCCGGGCUUGCCUGGCGAGAAAGGGGAAAAAGGAGAGCCGGGCACAGUUGGGAGUAAAGGUGAAUUUGGUACUCCUGGGAUUCCUGGAGAGAAGGGAGAAAAUGGUUCACAGGGUGCUCCAGGCUUACCUGGCCAAAAAGGUGAACAAGGCGAAAAAGGAGACCCAGGUCUGGCUGGACUUAAUGGAAAAAAUGGUUGGAAAGGUGACUUGGGUCCUCCUGGUCCCCCUGGCCCCAAAGGAGAAAAGGGAGAUAUGGGACCUCCAGGACCACCAGCUUUAACUGGUUCCCUGGGGAUACAAGGGCCCCAAGGCCCACCUGGAAAAGAGGGUCAGAGGGGAAGACGAGGGAAGACAGGACCCCCAGGAAAACCAGGACCCCCGGGACCACCUGGACCUCCUGGAAUGCAAAGAAUACAACAGUCUCUGGGUGGAUAUUAUAACAAGGGUAACCGUGAACACGGAGCUGGUGGCCUGAAAGGAGAAAAGGGUGAAACUGGACUCCCAGGAUUUCCAGGGUCUGUUGGUCCUAAAGGACAAAAAGGAGAACCCGGGGAACCUUUUACAAAAGGUGAAAAGGGGGACAAAGGAGAACCUGGAAUGAUAGGAUCUCAAGGAAUAAAGGGUGAACCUGGAGAUCCUGGUCCCCCUGGCUUUACAGGAAGCCCAGGACUAAAGGGUCAGCAAGGACCCACAGGCGCCAUGGGCCCCAGAGGACUACCAGGAGAUGUUGGAUUGCCAGGAGAACAUGGUAUCCCAGGAAAAGAAGGCGUUAAAGGAGAAAAGGGAGAUCCAGGUGGGAUCGUAGGCCCUCCUGGGCUUCCAGGUCCAAAAGGUGAGGCUGGUCCUCCAGGGAAGAGCCUGCCAGGGGAACCAGGACUAGAUGGAAAUCCUGGAACAGCUGGUCCACGUGGGCCAAAGGGAGAAAGAGGUCUGCCAGGUGUUCAUGGCUCCCCAGGUGACACAGGCCCGCCGGGGAUAGGUAUUCCUGGCCGAACAGGUUCUCAAGGACCAGCUGGUGAGCCAGGAAUUCAGGGUCCUCGAGGUCUCCCUGGGUUGCCAGGAGCUCCAGGGACCCCAGGGAAUGAUGGAGCUCCAGGGAGGGAUGGAAAGCCCGGCCUGCCAGGCCCCCCAGGUGACCCGAUUGCACUUCCUCUCUUGGGAGACAUCGGUGCCUUGCUCAAGAACUUCUGUGGCAACUGCCAUCCCAGUGUCCCUGGGUUGAAAAGCAACAAAGGAGAAGAAGGAGAUGCUGGUGAGCCUGGAAAGUAUGAUUCCAUAGCCCAGAAGGGUGACCUAGGGCCUCGGGGGCCUCCAGGAAUCCCAGGCAAAGAGGGACCAAAGGGGAGCAAAGGAGAACGAGGCUACCCUGGGAUACCUGGGGAGAAAGGUGAUGAGGGUCUGCAAGGACUUCCAGGCAUUCCAGGUGCUCCAGGCCCUACUGGACCCCCCGGCUUACUGGGAAGAACUGGACAUCCUGGUCCCACGGGAGCAAAGGGUGACAAGGGCAAUGAAGGUCCCCCUGGGAAACCCGGACCACCAGGACCACCUGGUGUACCAUUCAGUGAGGGAAACGGCAUGAGCAGUUUGUAUAAAAUCCAGGGAAAUGUUCCCAGUUACCCAGGGCCACCCGGUCCCCCUGGCCCAAAAGGCGAUCCUGGCCCAGUGGGAGAGCCUGGUGCAAUGGGGUUGCCCGGACUAGAAGGAUUUCCGGGUGUAAAGGGAGAUCGAGGCCCAGCAGGACCCCCGGGAAUAGCUGGGGUAUCGGGAAAACCAGGGGCCCCGGGGCCUCCAGGCGUUCCAGGAGAACCGGGUGAGAGAGGACCCGUUGGAGAUAUAGGUUUCCCUGGACCAGAAGGACCCUCAGGAAAACCAGGAAUAAAUGGUAAAGAUGGAUUACCAGGUGCUCAGGGCAUCAUGGGAAAACCUGGAGACAGAGGACCCAAAGGAGAACGCGGUGACCAGGGAAUUCCAGGAGACAGAGGCCCACAAGGUGAACGGGGAAAACCAGGUCUUACAGGAAUGAAGGGGGCUGUAGGUCCUAUGGGGCCACCAGGAACCAAAGGCUCUAUGGGAUCCCCCGGCCACCAAGGCCCCCCAGGGUCUCCAGGCAUCCCUGGCACUCCGGUUGAUGCAGUUUCAUUUGAUGAAAUAAAGAAGUAUAUCAAUCAAGAGGUCCUAAGGAUUUUUGAAGAGAGGAUGGCUGUGUUCCUGUCCCAGCUCAAGCUGCCAGCAGCAAUGUUGGCUGCCCAAGCUCAUGGGAGGCCUGGACCACCAGGGAAGGAUGGGUUGCCUGGGCCACCAGGAGAUCCUGGUCCCCAAGGCUACAGAGGGCAGAAAGGAGAAAGAGGUGAACCUGGAAUUGGGCUGCCAGGGAGUCCAGGUCUUCCUGGGACUUCAGCUCUGGGUUUGCCAGGCUCACCAGGGGCCCCAGGGCCCCAGGGACCCCCAGGACCCAGUGGAAGAUGUAACCCAGAAGAUUGCCUGUAUCCUGUGUCUCAAGGCCAUCAGCAGACAGGUGGGAAGUGAACACACCUGAGGAAGACGUGGUUCCUGGUGAUACCUCAUUGCCGUCAGAGGGAUCUUAAUGCUGUCUGUCAAAUCUUCACGCUAUGUGGGCUUUUUUUCUUUUUUCCGGAAUUGAGCUCAAUUCAAAGAAAUCACCACUAGUAUGAACCUGUACUACAUGAAAGGGAAAGAGUGAAUUCCAAUUGUGUCUGAGUUUCACAAGAAAAGCCUAACGCUCUGCGGUCCCGUCACUGAGUUUCUCAUUUGGUAAACAGCUGUUUUCUCUAAGAGAUGUUUGGUGGUGACGGUGUACCAAGCUGCCUUGGAUACUCUUGAAGCUUAAAUGGCUUAGCAAGAUCUCUGGGACCCUGAAUCCAUUAUCCUUCUGACCUCAUCACCCUCAGACUUUAAGGCAAGAACUGGCCAUUGGAGAAAAGGACAGGAUUUGUAGCGAGUGGAAAAGCAAUCUCCUUGCCUGAGAAGAUGAAUAUGGUGUAGUGUCAGCACGUGAAUAUUGAGAAAGCAAAGCUCAAAAUCUCUGAAAGAGAAUAAUAUUUCUCUAUAAACUGUAGCAAGAGGUACUUUCAGUGAAGGAAAAUCAUGGGACUGAAUAUGCAACUCCGCCCUCAAACCAAAGAGUUAACAGUUCAAAACCUUAUCUUCUGAAAGGAAACCAAACUAUAGUGAUCAUCAAACAAACUACUGAAGCAUUUCUAUUAACUAGCUACACAUUAUUUUGAUAACUGUUGGUUGAAAACACCUGAUUUUCUCGAAUAGCGGGCAUGAGGAUGCUGCUGAAAUUUAGGGGGAUAGGUCCCACAGACACUGGGAGGAUUGCAUCAGAGCUCUACUGUCACAGAAGUCAGGGUUCACAUCUUCAAGAAGCAGUGCAGAUUUCAACUUGGCUAAACUAGGGUAGGGUGAUUGCUUUUGUCUGUUUCCUGAGAAAUGAGUUUGGAAAGACAAGCCCACUGAAAUUAGAAAAAGCUGUGAACAGAAUUGCAUCUGAGGAGCAUGCUAAAUUAAGUGUGCACCUGUGAUUUGAACUGGUUUGCAUUAUCAGUGAAUGAUCUGCUGGUCAGCUUCUGUCUACAUAGCUGUGUAUACAUACAACAUUUUAGUUAUUUCAUAUUGAGUUAUACUGUGUAUUUCAAGUCCGAGUUUAUUUAUUUUCCAAGGUUAUUUUAUUUAAGUGUUUUUAAAUGGAUUUUUUAAAAUUUUCUUUCUUGUGCAAUACCUACAAUGGUGCUGUGUUUUAAACUCACACAAUUGGAAUACACAUAUGUGUUUUCUUAGUAAAAUGAUAAUUUAUCCCAAAAAAGUGUACAUAGAUCUAAAAUUUGGUGCUAUGUGUAUAUCUUGAGCUUUUAAUUUGUUGAAUUUUCUGAAAGCUUUAUCUGCCACUCAUAUUAAUUUACUUGAAUUUGUCCUAAAGAUAAACAUUUUAUAUGUUUUCAAAGAUUAUUUUUUCAUAUUAAUAGGUUGUUUAUCUUUUUGCCUCUUAGCUAAUUUAAAAAUAUUCAUUUUAUCACUAUAAUUUUUGUCGACUUUUUUGCUGAUGAUAAUCAAUUUUUGGAGGAGGAGUUUUUUAGUUGAAACUUUCACAUGCAUAAACAGAUACAAUUUGUUUUCUUUUUUCUUUUUUUAGCUUCUUUUUUUUUAUUAAAUCAUAGCUGUGUACAUUAAUUCAAAUUUGUUUUCUUAUUUUACAAAUUCUGUCCAUUUUUAAUCUACAACAAAUGUUAGGUAUCCUUCCUUGUAAAUUGUAUAUUUGGCAGUGUUUUGUUGUUUUUUUUUCCCUAGAUUCCAUUAAUGGUUAACUGGUUAAUUCCUAUUUCAAAGAUCUUGGUUAAUUCAGGAAAUUUGAGAAGGGGAGGAAAUGGAAAUAGCAUGCUGUGUGACACAUUAUUACAAGGGAAACCAUCAAGCUCAUUUUUUCAUAACUGGGAAAUGUGAUUACCUUUGACAUAACUAGAAAGAUGAGGCUGUAUUCCCAUGGCCCAAGCCUCUCCCACCCACUCUAUGAUUUACUGCAGAUAAUUUGUUCUGCCUCAGCUCUGUGCCCCUAAUAUGCAACAGAGCCCAGAAAGAAGUUCUGGGUCCACCUAAUACAACACCAAAUGGAGCGGAGAUUGGAAAUUGCCAAAUUCCUUUAAUAAAAAGAAAGUAAAUAAUUUAGGCCCCAAAUCAGGGUGGGAAAUGUUCCUGUAAAUAACUUGGUGGUUGCCAAAUCUCUUCUGCCAUAUCCCAUCCAAGAUAAGCAUUUAUUGACACAAAGAUGUCAGAGAUGUCACCACAGGGGGAAAAGAAUCAUUAAAUUUCAUGAAUUAGCUCGUUGUUGCUCCAGAUAACCAUGUGAGUGUUUAAAUAAAAGUAAUCAUGGGUCAUGAUGACAGUUAAUAUUAAAACUGUGUUUUCCAUGUUCUCAUAUGUUUGAAUUCCAGUCUUAACAUUUCUAUUCGAAGAUCAAUUAACACUUUCAGAUGGAAGUCUUUCUAGGCAAACAGUAAGAGGAGACUCCAGUUAAUAUGUGUGGUCUUUGGAAUAUAAAGGAAAAAUAAUGCAUGAAUUUCUUCCUUGUUAUUUCCAGCUGAAGACACUAACCAUUCUAACUGUACUAGAAACACAGCCAGUCUUAACCUUUCAAACUUGGUACCUGUGAUCAAUUAAAGUAACCCCAUAUGCUUAUUUCUAUAUUCCAUGAUAAUUGUUGAAACUUUAAAAUUUUAGUCACUUUCUAGAGCUUUAGGAAUUAUUUGAAGAUAUGUUGUGUGUAAAAAUUGUAGUUUGAUAUUUGGCUCAUAAGGUAAUUCUUUAUAAAUAUGUUUUGGGAGUUAAAAACGUUGAUUUUUUUCUUCGGUCUCUCUCAUCUGCUGGGAACCUCUGAUAUACCUCCUCUGUCCACCAGAUGGCGUUAAAAGCAAUUUGUUCAGAAGAACUGAACAGACUCACAGAAACUACAGAGCUAGGAACAAUUAGAGUGGACAAUUAAAUCAGACCUUUGUCCUUGCACAUUUUUUUUUUAACUUUUGUAAUGACUUUUUUGUAUACUCAUGUUUUUCCUAAUUUUAAGUAUCUUUAUGAAGCAGGCACUAUAUCUUUUGAUUGGUUGACUGUUUCACUUUUCUUUCUUCAGUGGAUGUAUACGUAUACACACGCACACAUUUAUAUGCCCGGUUAACAUACACACUUACUAUUCAUCACUUUGUACACUACCCUCCUAUUUUAGUGAUGAAUAUGAAGACACCUAAGUAGUCUACCUACCUUUCAGACAGGACACAUACUCUCUUUUGAGAGACAAAUAAAAAGAUUUAGCUUAUCACAAGAAAUAAGCAAUUUAUAAAACUACACAUUGUCUAAACUCCAUAAUGUUAAAAUUUUACAGUCAGCUUUGAAUGAGGUUUCUAUUUUUCUAAACAUGUAUCACUAUUUACAAAAGUAAAGUUUAGGAACACUGUUUUUUCAAAAUACCAUUUUGACUUUCCUAACGUUUAUAGUAAUGGGAUCAAGGAUUUCUAGGGCAAGUGUUAUGCUGGAGCUGUUUUAAUAAAUCCUCAGAAUAGUUUUGCAGAGUUUCCCAUUUCUCUUGUUCUUCAACUAUUUUUCACAUUUGUCUGUGUCCACUUUCUGGAGACACAGAAGUGUUUCCUAUCAGAGUUUCCCCUCUCGUUUCUUAACGCUUCGGGCUUGAGCACUGCUAUUGAUACCAUUGCCUCUCUGAAAGAUUACACAGGCUUCUAUGAAUAAGAGGAAUACAUACAGAAAAGAAUUGGAUUUUUAUUUUUGAAGCCCAGGUACUUUAAAGUAGCUUAGCCCAUGGAAUCAUAUCCAUUUGUUAGUUGGCUAGUGAAGUAGCAUAAAUUACAUUAAAUUUGUUCAACUACUGGGAGUUUCAGGACAAAAGACAAAUGGUAGUCUUCAUUUUUAAGGUGUGGUAUGGCUGGAGCUAUAAUCCACACAUUUUGCUCAACAACUCAACAAAAUUAUAAUAGAGGAACCAAUCAAUUAAGUUAAAUUGACUGAAGCAUGGAGUUAACACAGAGAAAACUCCUUCAGACAAAUAGAUCCAGCAUAGAAAAAAAUUUACCUGAAAGAUAUGACAAGCUUGUAAGACCACAGCUAAAUCUAAGAAAAUCAUAUGGGAAAAAAAUUUCAAGUUCAAAUCCAAUCAUGGGUGAAAAUUUCAAGUUCAGACCCAAUAGCAAAGUGAUGUGUGGGACAACUCAAGGAGUUAUCUAACUUACUUCAUGGACGCUAAUAACAUAGGAGGUUUCACUAAAAUUAGAGGGCAGUGAAAACAAGAUUUAACUUUGUCAGAAGUAUGAGUGUUGCUUGCCCAUGAUAAGACUGUGGAUGUAAAGAUGCUAGUUAUUUUACAACUUUUCAUUUUGCUGUGCUAAGGUUUAUUUUAAGGAUAAAUAUUUUCAGUGUAUUAAUGUUUUUAAAUUCAGAUUGUAUUGGGCGUAUUUUAUAACUAUUUAUUUUUAAAAUAACUUUCAGGGUGCAUUUUUCCCUGUUCUGUUUGUUCUUUAUCUUAUUUUAUCAAACUAUUUAUGGUUUAAUUUAAUAGACUCCCGUUAAGUGGAAUGACACUAGUUUUAUUCUAAAUCAAAGGAGGCCUUUGAUUCCUAUAUGUUCAUUACGCACAUUAAGCUUGUUGAAUAUCUCAGCAAUAAAGGAUUUGACACUAAAUCAGGGAAUUGUAAGGUGCAGUUAUUAAUGCCAUAUCUACACUUCAUGACUUCUAGUGGCUGAAGUGCCACACUUCAUUCUAAGUGUCAACUGCAGGGAUGUUCCCAAAGUGUUCUG